UAGGGAAUCUUCUACAAUGGACGAAAGUCUGAUAGAGCAACGCCGCGUGAGUGAUGAAGGUUUUCGGAUCGUAAAACUCUGUUGCGAGGGAAGAACAAGCAGGAACUAACUACUCUUGCCUUGACGGUACCUCGUUAGAAAGCCACGGCUAACUACGUGCCAGCAGCCGCGGUAAUACGUAGGUGGCAAGCGUUGUCCGGAAUUAUUGGGCGUAAAGCGCGCGCAGGCGGCCUUUUAAGUCUGAUGUGAAAGCCCACGGCUUAACCGUGGAGGUGCAUUGGAAACUGGAAGGCUUGAGGAUAUAAGAGGAAAGCGGAAUUCCACGUGUAGCGGUGAAAUGCGUAGAGAUGUGGAGGAACACCAGUGGCGAAGGCGGCUUUCUAGUAUAUAACUGACGCUG
RNAcentral lists this ribosomal RNA (400 nucleotides) under uncultured bacterium. RNAcentral describes it as "bacterial SSU rRNA". It matches the Rfam family "Bacterial small subunit ribosomal RNA", at positions 355 to 748 of the family's 1533-position model. The record is from RNAcentral.